AUUGAACGCUGGCGGCAUGCCUUACACAUGCAAGUCGAGCGGCAGCACGGGAGCAAUCCUGGUGGCGAGUGGCGAACGGGUGAGUAAUAUAUCGGAACGUGCCCAGUCGUGGGGGAUAACGUAGCGAAAGCUACGCUAAUACCGCAUACGAUCUAUGGAUGAAAGCGGGGGAUCGCAAGACCUCGCGCGAUUGGAGCGGCCGAUAUCAGAUUAGGUAGUUGGUGAGGUAAAGGCUCACCAAGCCGACGAGCUGUAGCUGGUCUGAGAGGACGACCAGCCACACUGGGACUGAAACACGGCCCAGACUACUACGGGAGGCAGCAGUGGGGAAUUAUGGACAAUGGGCGCAAGCCUGAUCCAGCAAUGCCGCGUGCAGGAUGAAGGCCUUCGGGUUGUAAACUGCUUUUGUACGGAACGAAACGGCGAGCUCUAAUACAGUUUGCUAAUGACGGUACCGUAAGAAUAAGCACCGGCUAACUACGUGCCAGCCGCCGCCGUAA
Molecule: ribosomal RNA, 500 nt
Filed under: uncultured bacterium
Lineage: Bacteria
Description: partial 16S ribosomal RNA
Rfam family: Bacterial small subunit ribosomal RNA
Source: RNAcentral